RNAcentral lists this small nucleolar RNA (99 nucleotides) under Salix viminalis (osier). It matches the Rfam family "Small nucleolar RNA Z107/R87". From Rfam's summary of the family: Z107 and R87 are members of the C/D class of snoRNA which contain the C (UGAUGA) and D (CUGA) box motifs. Most of the members of the box C/D family function in directing site-specific 2'-O-methylation of substrate RNA Lineage: Eukaryota; Viridiplantae; Streptophyta; Magnoliopsida; Malpighiales; Salicaceae. The record is from RNAcentral.
GAUCGCAAUGAUGACACAUUAAAAUUCAAGCUCAUCAGACCGGAUUACAGGCAUUCUUUCUGAAAGUUUGUAUGGCGAUUACCGCUGAACUGAGCGAUC